AGUAAGGUCAGCUAAACAAAGCUACCGGGCCCAUACCCCGGAAAUGUUGGUUUAAAUCCUUCCCGUACUA
Molecule: transfer RNA, 70 nt
Filed under: Rhizomys pruinosus (hoary bamboo rat)
Lineage: Eukaryota; Metazoa; Chordata; Mammalia; Rodentia; Spalacidae
Description: tRNA-Met
Rfam family: tRNA
About the family: Transfer RNA (tRNA) molecules are approximately 80 nucleotides in length. Their secondary structure includes four short double-helical elements and three loops (D, anti-codon, and T loops).
Source: RNAcentral